Molecule: ribosomal RNA, 518 nt
Filed under: uncultured bacterium
Lineage: Bacteria
Description: bacterial SSU rRNA
Rfam family: Bacterial small subunit ribosomal RNA
Source: RNAcentral
GAGUUUGAUCCUGGCUCAGGAUGAACGCUGGCGGCGUGCUUAACACAUGCAAGUCGAACGGGAAACUUUUCAUUGAAGCUUCGGCAGAUUUGGUCUGUUUCUAGUGGCGAACGGGUGAGUAACGCGUGAGUAACCUGCCCUGGAGUGGGGGACAACAGUUGGAAACGACUGCUAAUACCGCAUAAGCCCACGGCCCGGCAUCGGGCUGCGGGAAAAGGAUUUAUUCGCUUCAGGAUGGACCCGCGUCUGAUUAGCUGGUUGGUGAGGUAACGGCUCACCAAGGCGACGAUCAGUAGCCGGCUUGAGAGAGUGAACGGCCACAUUGGGACUGAGACACGGCCCAAACUCCUACGGGAGGCAGCAGUGGGGAAUAUUGCACAAUGGGGGAAACCCUGAUGCAGCGACGCCGCGUGAGUGAAGAAGUAUCUCGGUAUGUAAAGCUCUAUCAGCAGGGAAGAAAAUGACGGUACCUGACUAAGAAGCCCCGGCUAACUACGUGCCAGCAGCCGCGGUAAUAC